CACUUCCCUAGUCCUUGCUUUCAUCAUCUUUUCUUGCUGGUUGUGGAGAUAUUUAGACCCUAAAGACCAAAGCUUUGCCACCGACUGGACUAAUAUGUGUCUUUCUGUUAUUUCACCACAGUGAUCUGUUUCAUAAGGGUUUGGGGUACAGGAUACUUUAAUUAAAUGUUCUGAUUCUUAACCCACUGUGCCACAGUGAGAACUCCAUGAAUGAGUUUUUUUGUUUUUGUUUUUUUGUCUUUUUGCCAUGUCUUGGGCUGCUCCCGCGGCAUAUGGAGGUUCCCAGGCUAGGGGUCGAAUUGGAGCUGUAGCCGCCCGCCUACGCCAGAGCCACAGCAACUCAAGAUCCGAGCCGUGUCUGCAACCUACACCACAGCUCACGGCAAUGCCGGAUCUUUAACCCACUAAGCAAGGGCAGGGAUCAAACCCGCAACCUCAUGGUUCCUAGUCAGAUUCGUUAACCACUGUGCCACGACGGGAACUCCCGUGAAUGAGUUUUUAAAUGCAGACUACAUGCACAUUUUUGGUUAGCUAAGACUGUGCUGUCCAUAUAGUCAAAAUAUUUGGGGGGGUUAGUAUUUAUAAGAGGGUCCAUUGUCUUUCCCUUAGUUUUUAGUAAUCAGGUUUUAAAAAAGAAGCCUCAGCCUGGGGAAUUUCAUGCCCCUUUGGGUGGGCAUCCUUUCCCUGGCAUCCCGUAUAGUCCAUCCUGUAUCUGUCUACCUUGGAGCCUUAGCCAGCUGAGAGGAGACUGAAGCAGUCUGGUGGGCAGGCUUGUGUUGGUUUUAAAUACCUACAUUGGGCCAUCUGGUCAGUCUACAUUUCCCAGCCUAGGAUCCUUAGGCACACUGUUUUUCCACCUUUAAAAUCCCUCCCCCAUUCCAUCCCAGCCCUUUUCAGUGUGGUCCUGUCCUUUCAGAUUCAGCCAAAACAUCACUCCCUCCAUGCUGAUUUUUCUGAUACCUGGGGUGCUCUGGUACUUCCGUAAGGUCCUUCAGCACUUUGUUCAUACAACCUUGGACACAGUCAUUCCUUGUACUUUCAUUUUUAAAUUUACAUCUCUCUAAAUCCUUGACCAUAAACCCUUCAAGGUCAUGUCCCAGGCCCCAUUCAUCUUUGCACUUUCAGGACUUUUCAUGCCUUGGUACAUAAUAAAUGCUCAAUAAACAGCUGAAUGAAUGAACGAGAGACUGACCAGUCCUGUACAUUCAGAACGAGAGAUUUAAUUGUUGCCGGUAUUGCUUUCAACCACUGUGCUGUUUUCCUGGUAGUUUUGACUUUGGUCAUUUUAAUGGAUGUUCUUUUUCUCUAGGUCUCUGGGAAUAUGUCUAGAAUUGACUUGAGGUAAAUUAGCUUCCUUUGGCUUUCGGAGGAGUUGGGGAGCUCUAGUCCUGCUCCCAUCAGAGAAUUCGCAGAGCUCUGAGGAAGAUGGUGAGAAAAGGAGGAUAUAGGAUGCGUCAAGUGCCCUCAGGCUCAGAUGCUGAGCCAAACUUUGGGCCUCGGUUCUUACUGCUGAUGAGGACUCAGCAGGAAGCUUCUGGCAGUGUGUCCCUAUACUCAAGGGACCCCUUUGCUUGAGGGGUUUGUAGAGUAGGCACCUCUAUUACCUUAUCUCUCAAGGGGUCUAGGGGGCUUGCUUUCUUCUACCCACAUAUCCUUGUAUGGUUGUGGCAAGUUCUUGGCAAAUGAAACUUUUCGUUUGUUUUUUCUCUGCUGCCUAGGUUUAGUGAUAAAAAGUUGAUUUCUUUCUGUGAGUUGACACUUGGUCCUUCAGAGCAGCACUCAACUUCUGGAGAGGGGCUUACCAAGAUAUGCUUGUCUGGUAGGAGGUAAAAGUCAGAAGUGGCACCAUCUCUCCCUUGAAAUUUUACCAGGGAGCUUUCUAGGAGCCUCUCCGGCACCUUGGUCAACACUUUUGCAUGGCUGGUAGUCAGAGUCAGCGAGUCCCACGGGUAUGAAAGGAAACAAUUCUCGACAUUAAUGAACCAUGCUCUGGGGACACGUGGGGCCAGAAUCACUCACUUUAGCACUCCUGGGUCAUUCAGCUGUCAGAUGAUUCAGGCCAUGGCUGGAUGCUGUAUAAGCCACAAAGGUGACUCUGGAGAUCUUCCCAAGUUUUGGUGGAAAAUUUGGCCAGGAGGCCUAGGGAAUUAGAACCUGAUCCAGCCGUUAGCAUGGGUUCACUAGCCACCUCUCCUUCACUCCAUUUCAGCCUUGUUGCUUCUCCAAUAAAGAUGAUUCCUGCCCUAAAGUUGCUUACAGUCUAUCAGGGUUCACAGCAUGUCCAUUGCCAGGAAAGCUCUGGACACCAAGUCAGUGGGUUAUGAUCACAAAGAGUCAGGCAGUGAUCCAGGGUGAUGAAGGAAGGCUUCAGGAAUACAAGCCUGGCCAUGAGCAAUGAUCUGACCUUUGUCAGGGGCCUUAGGUGGGCAAGUGCAUCCUACACAGGAGAAAAGCAUGGACCGAAGGCCUGGAUUAUGCAGGUCCAUCACAGCAUUUAUGGAAUCCCAGAAUGUCUGAUCUGAAAGGGAUAUUGGAGCUUGUUUGGCAUGUUGCUCCUUUAGCAGAAGAGGAAACCAAGACCCACCCAGGACAAAUCGGCUCUAUCACAAGUUGUAGCUUAAGAGCGAAGUAGAGGCUUUUGUCCAGGAUAGUGGCUGAUGGGUAGUGAUUGGACAGCAGGCAGAGUAGGGCAUUGGAAGCAUGGUGGCUUUGCUCAGUAUGGGUCUGGGCGAGCACAGCAGCAGACACUGAGGGUGGGUUUCUUAAAGAGAUCCAGGAGAGGGAGAGAUCCAGGAGGAUGGUGCUAUUGAUUUAGCCAACUGAGGAGAACUUACCCAGUAACUCCCACCCAUGGGUGCUAAUGUUUAUGGACCUAUAUUUUAACCCACUUGUAGCAGAAGCCUGAAACAUUCAGCUUAUAUCACUGUUUAUUCAUCAGUUCAACAAACAUGUAGUUGUCUUUACCCCAGGCACUGGGCUGGGCACUAGAAAUAUACUCCACCAGAGUUCCCUUAUGGCUCAGUGGGUUAAGGAUCUGGGGUUGCCACUGCUGCAGCUCCGGUAGCUGCUGAGGCUCAGAUUCAGUCCCUGGCCUGGGAACUUCCGCAUGCUGUGGGUACGUAUGUGAAAACAAAAAAAACGAGAUGCUGACUCUGUCAUUAUCUGUCUCUGGGACCUUCUUUGUGACUCAUUGUUUUUAAUCUGUCAAAAAGGGAAGCAGUGCGUUUAUAUAGUUUCUCAAAGUUACUGUGAUGACUUGUUUAUUGAUUAAAUCAAACAAUGUAUUGACGGUUCUUAGAAAAGCA
Molecule: long non-coding RNA, 3305 nt
Filed under: Sus scrofa (pig)
Lineage: Eukaryota; Metazoa; Chordata; Mammalia; Artiodactyla; Suidae
Description: lncRNA (ENSSSCG00060025746.1)
Source: RNAcentral